AGGGCCAUGGCUGCCCCGUGUGUCCCCUCACAAGCAGCAGGCUGGCAGGGCCAUGGCAGCCCUGUGUGUCCCCUCACAAGCAGCAGGCUGGCAGGGCCAUGGCAGGCUGGCAGGGCCAUGGCUGCCCUGGAAUGUUCCGGGCUGCCGGGGCCUGCCCGCCGCAGGAUCCGGCGCAGGCCGCAGGAAUCCGCGCAGGCCGCGGCACGCACUCAGCCCCUCCAGGGGCAGGCAGCUGCUGCUGCUGCGCUCACGCCAUGGUCUCUGCCAGGCUCCCCGGGACAGGCUCUCCUACAGGCAAGAGCACAUUGGCAAAACAACCCCAGAGUUGUAUUUUCCUUGCUCCCUCAUCAUGGCAAAACCUCCUUUUCCGAGGCAGUUGUUUCCUCCUGUUCUCUUCCCUCAGAGGAGCCUAAGGUGCCUAGUUCAGAUCCAGACGUUUACACAGAUGAAUCACACCCUCAAGGCCAUGGAGAAAAUAAUGAAAAUCUGCAAGCCUGGGCUCAAAUCUCUCCAGUCAUCUUGAAUAAUUCUAUUAUUUUACUGAAUAGAAUGAUCCAAUGUCAUUAAAUUGCUUCAUGCUUUGCUGGUAGAAAAUGAAGAUAAAUAAAUUCUCU
Vidua macroura (Pin-tailed whydah) is the source of this 614-nucleotide long non-coding RNA. RefSeq lists it as uncharacterized. The record is from RefSeq and is a predicted model, not a curated record. Lineage: Eukaryota; Metazoa; Chordata; Aves; Passeriformes; Viduidae. The transcript is spliced from 3 exons.